UUGAACGCUGGCGGCAUGCCUUACACAUGCAAGUCGAACGGCAGCACGGGUGCUUGCACCUGGUGGCGAGUGGCGAACGGGUGAGUAAUACAUCGGAACAUGUCCUGUAGUGGGGGAUAGCCCGGCGAAAGCCGGAUUAAUACCGCAUACGAUCUACGGAUGAAAGCGGGGGACCUUCGGGCCUCGCGCUAUAGGGUUGGCCGAUGGCUGAUUAGCUAGUUGGUGGGGUAAAGGCCUACCAAGGCGACGAUCAGUAGCUGGUCUGAGAGGACGACCAGCCACACGGGGACGGGAACGCCCCCCAGACCCCGGGGGGGGGCAGAGUGGGGAAUUUUGGAAAAAGGGGAGAAACCCAGCCCCAGCAAGCCCGGGGGGGAAAAGAGGGCCUGGGGGUUAAAACGCUUUUUGGCCGGAAAAGAACCCCUGGCCCCAAACCGGGGGGGGGGAGGGGGGACCGAAAAAAAAACCCCCGGGCAAACUCCGGC
This 485-nucleotide ribosomal RNA is filed under the name uncultured bacterium. RNAcentral's name for it is "partial 16S ribosomal RNA". It matches the Rfam family "Bacterial small subunit ribosomal RNA", at positions 29 to 508 of the family's 1533-position model. The record is from RNAcentral.